Molecule: long non-coding RNA, 673 nt
Organism: Alexandromys fortis (reed vole)
Lineage: Eukaryota; Metazoa; Chordata; Mammalia; Rodentia; Cricetidae
Exons: 3
Source: RefSeq, a predicted model, not a curated record
ACAGUGUCUGUUUCUCUCCUUAGUGGUUCAAGGGUUAACUGCAGAUACAUGAAAGGCAUUGUGAUUUGGGGGUAGAUGCCCCAGGAAGCCUUUUGUCUCCAAAAGUCUUUCCUGCAUCUUGGUGUCUUCUAAAAUAGCUUGUGUCUCAGAGGGCUACUGAUGAAGCCAGCUUCCCCAGGAGGUGUGUGUUACACCAGCCCGCCUCUUCCCCAGGAGGUGUGUAUUACACCAGCCCGCCUCUUCCCUAGGAGGUGUGUGUUACACUAGCCCGCCUCUUCCCCGGGAGGUGUGUGCUACACCAGCCCGCCUCUUCCACCUUUGGUGCUUCAUUAUCUCAGAAUCAAAACCUCUGAAGAGGUGUUCGUUUAAAUGAACUCAGAAGUAAAUCUUUAGAGGACCAGUUGAAGAAGGGGGGAGAUGUAACAGGAGAAUAUGUCUAUCUAGGAGUUGUUAAUUGUUGGCUAUUUUACUUUCAUGUCUCAUUCAUUACAAUAAUCUUAGAAGAUCUUCGUGGUAUAGAUAUGAAAUGGUCCUAGCUUACAAGGAAGUACAGCCAGUAAAGGAAAUAACUUAAUUAUAACCCCAAAUCUGGCUAACUCCAUGCCCACACAGCCCUGCCAUGUUAGGCCCUGGUGGAAAGCACGAGAGAUUCACUAAUGCUGCUGUCCUUCCU